UACGGAGGAUGCGAGCGUUAUCCGGAUUUAUUGGGUUUAAAGGGUGCGUAGGCGGCUUUUUAAGUCAGCGGUGAAAUUUUGCAGCUCAACUGUAAAAGUGCCUUCGAUACUGGUUUCCUUGAGUGUGGAUGAAGUAGGCGGAAUUUGUGGUGUAGCGGUGAAAUGCUUAGAUAUCACGAGGAACUCCGAUUGCGCAGGCAGCUUACUAAACCACUACUGACGCUCAGGCACGAAGGCGUGGGGAUCAAACAGGAUUAGAUACCCCUGUAGU
This 271-nucleotide ribosomal RNA is filed under the name uncultured prokaryote. RNAcentral describes it as "partial 16S ribosomal RNA". It matches the Rfam family "Bacterial small subunit ribosomal RNA", at positions 524 to 794 of the family's 1533-position model. The record is from RNAcentral.